This is a long non-coding RNA of Cercocebus atys (sooty mangabey), 1391 nucleotides long. RefSeq lists it as uncharacterized. The transcript has 3 exons. Lineage: Eukaryota; Metazoa; Chordata; Mammalia; Primates; Cercopithecidae. The record is from RefSeq and is a predicted model, not a curated record.
UCAUGCUAAGCACCUUACCUUUAUUAUUGUAUGAAGUCCUCGUGGCAGCUAUGUGGGCUUGCCACUAUUAAUAUUUCCAUAUUACAGAUAUAUAGGGGCCAGCCCUACGGGACUUAGCGAGUGUUCUCCUUGUGUGCAGAGAUGAGAGAUUGUAAUAAAUAAAGACACAAGACAAAGUGAUAAAGAGAAAACAGCUGGGCCCCGGGACCACUACCAUCAAGACGCAGAGACUGGUCGUGGCCCCGAACAGCUGGGCGCGCUGAUAUUUAUUGCAUACAAGACAAGGGGGCAGGUGAAUCUUCUAAGUGAUUGACAAGUUGAAGCAAGUCACCUGAUCACAGGGCAGUGGGCCCUUCCCUCUGAGGUAGUCAAAGCAGAGAGAGAGAAGGCAGCCUACAUCCGUGUUUUCUUCUCUGCACUUAUAAGAAAGUUCAAAGACUUUAAGACUGUCACUAUUUCUGCUACCGCUAUCUACUACGAACUUCAAAGAGGAACCAGGAGUAGGGGAGGAACAUUUCGUGCCUUCAGUCUCUUGCCUCAGCACCUGGGUAAUCCUCCGCCGACACAGACAAGGAAUCUCCGGAAGAAGAACAGAACAAUGUCAGCCCCUCUGAAUCUUGAGUGUGGAAAAUCACGGCGCAGCCUACCAAUUGUUACUGGCAGGGGAUGUGCUGGAGAAUGAGGAGUUGGCAACUCUUCUUCCUCUGGCCAGGAGUUUUCUUCUUACUCAUUAGCAAUUAUUUACCUGCUCUUUGUUCCUCCUCCUUGCACAUGCUAUGCUGAGUGAACUCACCAGAAGGAAAAUAAUUUCAUAGUGCAUGUUUCGAAAGCAUCCUCUGUGGUAGGAAAGUUUUUGUGAAACAGAAGAACAUUGGAGGUUAGCAAUCAUUUUAUUAUUUUGUUAAAUGAAGAAAACCAAGAAAAAUAAAAUUUCUGGUAAAGAAAGAAUUGUUUCAGUUGACUGGUCUGGGGUGCCUUUCUAGUGAUUUUGGCCAGUGCAUCAGGAAGCUAAGUUUGCAUUUUGGAGGUUGUGGACUCAGCAUAUGAGUCAAGUUUCUUUGCAAAGAAAACCUGAGACAGUUUUGUUGUAUUCUAAUUUAUAAUUGGGCAUUAGGCAACGUAGCAAUGAAGGAUCUUACUUCAGCAAGUUUACUGCUUAAUUUUGCUUUUGGUUCUACUUAGCAUCUUUAAGCAGAGGAAAGGAAGCAACUAUACUCCUUCGGGGAAUCAAGAUAUGACAAUUGGACAUUUGGAUAUUCAUGUGUUUUUUUAGGAUGGAACCUCUAUAAAUGGAAUGACACUUCUAAGGUCCAAAAGUAAAUAUAAAUUUUAAAUUGUUCUUUUAACUCUAUGCACAUUUCUUAGAAUCUCAGAAAAAAUAAACAUUCCAA